AUAAUUAUUGUUUUCCACAGAUAAUAAGGAUUUACCAAAUACAGUAAGACUUUGAAAAUCAGGAUGUACGAUAAAUUUCUUAUUCGUUUCCGUAUUUGUAACAUCCGAAAAAUCAAAUCUCAAUUCUAAUGAUGGAAUUGUUGAUUUUGCCAUCUAGAGUGAGCUAAACCAGACAUUGUAAUAAGAUUUUCUUGAAUUUGUUCUGGAGAUAUGUACUCCAAUUCUGGUUCAGAAAGUUCAUCUUCUUUAUCAUCAUUAAUUUCUAUUACCGAAUUAGGAAGUCCGAUCAUUGGAAUCGGAUCAUCUUUAUUUAUCGCUUUUAAAGAAAUAUGAGAAUAAAGAGUGCGAUUCGACCAUAAAUAUAUACCUAGAUUACACACAUGUGUUGUAGCAAGAAAUUCUCCAGUUGGAGAAAAAUGUAAUGAUGUACAUGCUUCUGGAAUCUAAAAUAUUGGAAUAUAAAACAUUUGACUAAUUUUCGAAUUUUUGUAAAUUAAUGAUAUUUUAAAAUUCAUUUAAAAUAUGAUAUUUAAAAUAUCAUUAAAAUAUCAAUUUUAAUAUUUUAAAAUUGAGUUAAUAAUUUUUUAUAUACCUGAAAAAUAUCUAUUAAGUUAGAAGAAGGAAUAUCCCAUGUACAAAUUGUACAAUCCAUAGAUGCUGUUAUUAACCAUCUUGAGUCAGGAUUAAAACAUGCAUCUGUCAAGCGCCCUUUAUGUCCUUCAAAACGUCGAACAAUUUUUCUAGUAUCAAAAUCUAUUAAUACAAUACUAAAAUCUUCCAAUGCUACAGCUAUAAGGGAACUUUCAUCAUGAUAUCGUAUCCAUUCAAUUGGCUCAUCUAGUAUCAUUUUUGCUAGUGAUUCUGUAUCAUCUUAAAAUUAAAAUAUUAAUUAUUAUAUUUUAUUAUUUUUACAUAUAUCUUUUUUAAUACAUAUAAUAAAAAAUAAUAAAUAAAAUUUUAUUAUAAUAAAUAAAUAUUUAAUAAAUAUAAUAAAUAAAAAUUUAUUUUCUUA
Molecule: long non-coding RNA, 1012 nt
Organism: Apis cerana (Asiatic honeybee)
Lineage: Eukaryota; Metazoa; Arthropoda; Insecta; Hymenoptera; Apidae
Source: RefSeq, a predicted model, not a curated record